This 2880-nucleotide long non-coding RNA is filed under the name Homo sapiens (human). RNAcentral's name for it is "HSALNT0034251". The record is from RNAcentral. Lineage: Eukaryota; Metazoa; Chordata; Mammalia; Primates; Hominidae.
ACACAGAUGGGAAGGUAAGCUUCAACAGGACACUGCCAGGAAGAAGCAUGAAGAAAGAGAUAAACCCAGAGGCGGAAUGAACCCUUUGGCAGUGGAGAUAUCUGACCAUGGAGAUGCUUCUGAAUGUCACCCACCAAGAAGCUGUGAGCUGGAUGCUCCACAGAUAUGAUAUACAGAGCCUUCCCUGCUGGCCUUUUUCCUUCCAUCUGGAGAUCAGCCCGGGUCCAUAGAGCCUAACAUGAAGACAGCCAGCAAAGAAGAAAUGUGGUUUGCAGCGUUCCAGCCCCAGCAUCACAGAGCAGAGUGUAAAAAGGUAUUCCUGAUGACGGUGAACUGUAAGGAGGGGAGCCUGCUUGGCUUGUGAACUUUUACUUAAUACCGCUCUUCAAAUACAGUGCUUCUGCUCUGCCCUCUGCCAUACUGAGUCCCCAAUUCCCUGGCCUCUUCAGUCAGCCUCUGCAGAGAAGACAUUCGCCCCAGUGCCCUGGCAGAGCAGACAAUCACCUGGCUGCGUAGAGUGAGGAAGGAGCUGUAGAAGCCUAAGCGUCUCAUGCCAUUCUCGUUUGGAGUCACAUCCUGAACCGCUUCCCAGUUCUACCACCUAUGGCCCUGAAGUAUCACGUAGGGAACUCAACUUCUCCCUCUGAGCUUGGAAGACCUUUGAAACACAUAGGAUGUCCAGGGCCCUCUUGGCCCUGGGAUUCUAUGAUCCAUGAACCUUCAGAAGCUAGAGAGCUCUGCCUAGGUAGUAACAUAGACAGGAAGAUACAGGAGGUGAAGAAGGGCAAGGUGACAGUGGGAUAGAGUGGCAGGAGACUUCAAAGAAAAGGUGGGAUGAGAGCAGGACAAGAGCCAGUUGGAGGAAUAGGAGAGGGAACGCCUCCUCAGGUGUCCAAUACUGGGGCAGGAUCGUCACAGCAUGCUGGGGGCUGGUAGGCAAAGGGUUCUAGAAUAAUAAAGUGGAAGAGUAAACUUCAAUUAGAAUGUGGAGAACUUGAAUUUCUUUUUUACAUUAGCAAACCCCACAAUCAAAGUCGUCUAGAGAUUUGUUUUCAGUGCCAGAGACCCUACCCCAGACUUUAAAUCAGAAUAUCAGAGAAGAGCCCAGGAACCUAUAUGCCUUUAAACUUUCCACGUGAGUCCAAUAAACUGGCAAGUUUUGGAACCACUUCCUUAGGCAAUGGAGAACCAUGGAUGGUUUGUAAUCAGGAUGCAUGAUAGAAGUGGAAAUUCUAGAAAGAUGAAUUUGACAGGCAUACGCAAGGUGGACUGGAGGUUGAAGGACAUGUGACAGGGAUUCAAGGGAGGAAAUUUCAAUACUUCACAAAGAUGGUCAUGAGAGUCUAUAGGAGGUAAGUGGUCAGGGAAAAGAAAGAAGAGACUAUACCAAUCCUUCUUUCAUGGAUUGAAUUAUGUAUCCCCCAAAAAUUCAUAGGUUGAAUUCCUAACCCUUAGUACCUCGGAAUGUAACCUUAUUGGGAAAUAGAGUCACUGCAGAUGUAAUUAGUUAGGUUAGAUGCGGUCAUAGGGUGGACUCUAAUCUAAUAGAAGGGGGAACUUUGGACACACCAGCAUGGACAGCCAUAGAGGGAAGACGAUGAAAAGCAAAGUAGGGAGAAAUGGUUAUCUAUCUACAAGCCAAGGAGAGACGCCUGGAACAGAUCCUUCCCUCAAAGCUAACAGGAGGAACCAGUCCUGUUGACACCUUGAUCUCUGUCUUCUGGCCUCCAAAACUGUAAGUCAGUAAACUGCUAAUCACCAGGUCUGUGGUACUUUGUUAUGGCAGCCAUAGGAAACUAAUACACUGUCUUUUUGGAAACACAUUCCUGCCUUCAACUACCUCUUCCUCACUUUCUCUUGAGGAAUGAUUUCUCAAAGCCACCCACCUGAGAGGGCUGGAAGCAGUGGUUACAGAAUGAAGCAUGUGUUUCUAACAUUAUAGGAUGCCUUUUUACUGGAGGAGUGAGUGUGGGGUAGCUUUUUGGAGUCCUUGGCCAGUUUGCUCCCAGAACCUACCUGAGAUAUCAAAGAACUGACUUGUGAUUGGACCUUGCUGAAUAGAAAAGAUGUUAUCUCUAGGAGAAGCAAUUCACAUUCUCCCCACCUGAGAAAGGAAUUGGUGCCAAGAAUAUCAGACAGUGGGUAAACCCCCAGAGGAGAAGGGAGACUCAUUUCUUUGGAGCCACUACCGUCCCACUGGUGGCUCAUCCAGAUGUUAGAGCUGCAAGAGGAGGAACAAUCUACAAAAAAAGGUAAACUCUCAUUCUAUCAUUUUGUGGCUUGGCCUAUGCUGAAAUAACUAUCUUCCUUGGCUAAACAAAGAAUUUCCAAGAACCCAAUACAUGAAGGUCAAUGUCAUGGUGGCUGAUAUAACCACAUGGGACCAAGCACAACCACAUUCCUGGCCUCCCUCACUGUCCUGCUCAGCCUGGACCCACACCAGCUACUCUGCACUGCCCUUGCUAACAUCCUUGGGACACUUGGCCCUUUUACCUGCCAGUGUCCCCAGUGGCAACCCUCACUCUAGAUCACCCACCACCUGCUCACUCCAGGAUUGCCCACUUUUGCUAGAAAAAGUGUCAUAACUAUACCACAGGACCCGCUAAGUAUUCCCACUCCACAACCCUAUCUGGGCCCUUCCUGCUUCCAUGGUUAUCCAUCUGGAGUUAGCUUCCUGUUGCUUCCCUCCCAGCCCUUGCAAAGAAUUCUCUAGGCUCCAUGAGUCUUCAACUCCAUCCCAAUGACUCUUACCAUCAGCCAAGGAUGUCACUUCAAUUUUCUGGUCAAGUGAAAAGUCUUCAGGCAUCUACUACCUCACCUCUGUUUCUCUCCACUUUGGAGUUUCUCUAUGUUAACAUCACUCCUUUUCUGUAUUCCUCC